UGGGGAAUUUUGGACAAUGGGCGAAAGCCUGAUCCAGCAAUGCCGCGUGUGUGAAGAAGGCCUUAGGGUUGUAAAGCACUUUUGUCCGGAAAGAAAUCCUUGGCUCUAAUACAGUCGGGGGAUGACGGUACCGGAAGAAUAAGCACCGGCUAACUACGUGCCAGCAGCCGCGGUAAUACGUAGGGUGCAAGCGUUAAUCGGAAUUACUGGGCGUAAAGCGUGCGCAGGCGGUUUGCUAAGACCGAUGUGAAAUCCCCGGGGCUCAACCUGGGAACUGCAUUGGUGACUGGCAGGCUAGAGUAUGGCAGAGGGGGGUAGAAUUCCACGUGUAGCAGUGAAAUGCGUAGAGAUGUGGAGGAAUACCGAUGGCGAAGGCAGCCCCCUGGGCCAAUACUGACGCUCAUGCACGAAAGCGUGGGGAGCAAACAGGAUUAGAUACCCUGGUAGUCCACGCCCUAAACGAUGUCAACUAGUUGUUGGGGAUUCAUUUCCUUAGUAACGUAGCUAACGCGUGAAGUUGACCGCCUGGGGAGUACGGUCGCAAGAUUAAAACUCAAAUGAAUUGACGGGGUCAUAGCUG
This 580-nucleotide ribosomal RNA is filed under the name uncultured bacterium. Its description in RNAcentral is "partial 16S ribosomal RNA". It matches the Rfam family "Bacterial small subunit ribosomal RNA", at positions 355 to 932 of the family's 1533-position model. The record is from RNAcentral.